RNAcentral lists this ribosomal RNA (257 nucleotides) under uncultured prokaryote. RNAcentral describes it as "partial 16S ribosomal RNA". It matches the Rfam family "Bacterial small subunit ribosomal RNA", at positions 524 to 780 of the family's 1533-position model. The record is from RNAcentral.
UACGGAGGAUCCGAGCGUUAUCCGGAUUUAUUGGGUUUAAAGGGUGCGCAGGCGGAAGAUUAAGUCGGUGGUGAAAUUUUGCAGCUCAACUGUAAAAGUGCCAUUGAUACUGGUUUUCUUGAGUGUGGAUGAAGUAGGCGGAAUUUGUGGUGUAGCGGUGAAAUGCAUAGAUAUCACACAGAACACCGAUUGCGAAGGCAGCACACUAAGUCAUUAUUGACGCUGAGGCACGAAAGUGUGGGGAUCAAACAGGAUUA